This 759-nucleotide ribosomal RNA is filed under the name uncultured Enterobacteriaceae bacterium. RNAcentral describes it as "bacterial SSU rRNA". It matches the Rfam family "Bacterial small subunit ribosomal RNA", at positions 28 to 776 of the family's 1533-position model. Lineage: Bacteria; Pseudomonadati; Pseudomonadota; Gammaproteobacteria; Enterobacterales; Enterobacteriaceae. The record is from RNAcentral.
AUUGAACGCUGGCGGCAGGCCUAACACAUGCAAGUCGAGCGGCAGCGGAAAGUAGCUUGCUACUUUGCCGGCGAGCGGCGGACGGGUGAGUAAUGUCUGGGAAACUGCCUGAUGGAGGGGGAUAACUACUGGAAACGGUAGCUAAUACCGCAUGACCUCGAAAGAGCAAAGUGGGGGAUCUUCGGACCUCACGCCAUCGGAUGUGCCCAGAUGGGAUUAGCUAGUAGGUGAGGUAAUGGCUCACCUAGGCGACGAUCCCUAGCUGGUCUGAGAGGAUGACCAGCCACACUGGAGCUGAGACACGGUCCAGACUCCUACGGGAGGCAGCAGUGGGGAAUAUUGCACAAUGGGCGCAAGCCUGAUGCAGCCAUGCCGCGUGUGUGAAGAAGGCCUUAGGGUUGUAAAGCACUUUCAGCGAGGAGGAAGGCACCAUACUUAAUACGUGUGGUGAUUGACGUUACUCGCAGAAGAAGCACCGGCUAACUCCGUGCCAGCAGCCGCGGUAAUACGGAGGGUGCAAGCGUUAAUCGGAAUUACUGGGCGUAAAGCGCACGCAGGCGGUUUGUUAAGUCAGAUGUGAAAUCCCCGCGCUUAACGUGGGAACUGCAUUUGAAACUGGCAAGCUAGAGUCUUGUAGAGGGGGGUAGAAUUCCAGGUGUAGCGGUGAAAUGCGUAGAGAUCUGGAGGAAUACCGGUGGCGAAGGCGGCCCCCUGGACAAAGACUGACGCUCAGGUGCGAAAGCGUGGGGAGCAAACAGG